CCUACGGGCGGCAGCAGUGGGGGAUAUUGCACAAUGGGGGAAACCCUGAUGCAGCGACGCCGCGUGUGGGAAGACGGUCCUCUGGAUUGUAAACCACUGUCCCCAGGGACGAAGAUGACGGUACCUGGGGAGGAAGCUCCGACUAACUACGUGCCAGCAGCCGCGGUAAUACGUAGGGAGCGAGCGUUGUCCGGAAUUACUGGGUGUAAGGGGAGCGUAGGCGGGACUGCAAGUUGGGUGUAAAAUCUACCGGCUCAACCGGUAGCCGCACUCAAAACUGCAGUUCUUGAGUGAAGUAGAGGCAGGCGGAAUUCCUAGUGUAGCGGUGAAAUGCGUAGAUAGUAGGAGGAACACCAGUGGCGAAGGCGGCCUGCUGGGCUUUUACUGACGCUGAGGCUCGAAAGUGUGGGGAGCAAACAGGAUUAGAUACCCCAGUAGUC
Molecule: ribosomal RNA, 440 nt
Filed under: uncultured bacterium
Lineage: Bacteria
Description: partial 16S ribosomal RNA
Rfam family: Bacterial small subunit ribosomal RNA
Source: RNAcentral